RNAcentral lists this small RNA (103 nucleotides) under Phytobacter ursingii. RNAcentral's name for it is "Alpha operon ribosome binding site". It matches the Rfam family "Alpha operon ribosome binding site". From Rfam's summary of the family: The bacterial alpha operon ribosome binding site is surrounded by this complex pseudoknotted structure. Lineage: Bacteria; Pseudomonadati; Pseudomonadota; Gammaproteobacteria; Enterobacterales; Enterobacteriaceae. The record is from RNAcentral.
UUUCCAUUUGAGUAUCCUGAAAACGGGCUUUUCAGCAUGGUGCGUACAAGUAAAAUUAUAGGAGUGCAUAGUGGCCCGUAUAGCAGGCAUUAACAUUCCUGAU